UGGCCCCACACUGGAUUUAUCCUUCCU
This 27-nucleotide non-coding RNA is filed under the name Mus musculus (house mouse). The record is from RNAcentral. Lineage: Eukaryota; Metazoa; Chordata; Mammalia; Rodentia; Muridae.